GGCCACUGGGGUACUUGCUGAAAAUGAGCUGGAUAGCAGAGAGUGGUUUCGACCGAUCGUACACGUGGUUAAAGUAGACAUCGCGCUUCCGCUUCGCUUCUGUAAUCAGCAUGACCUGUACAAACUGACAGAAGCAGUCAAAAAAUAAUCACGGAGGGCACUGAGACAUGCCCAUGAAAUUUUGGUUUAAUAUUUCUGUUUGCACUUCAUUGCUAAAGCAAACUGAAUAGCAGAGGAUGGUUUCGAUCCAUAAAUCACUGGGUUAACUGCCAGGCACACUUCCACUUCAUCACUCCACUUUCAGGUACCCCAAAACAACACUUGAAUUCACAAUACAUGGAUUAGGAGAUCAGUGUCUUAAGCCACUGUGUCUCUCUGUGAUCAGCAUGACCUAUAUGGAUUGAUAGAAGCAGUAAUAAAAAAAGAAUCACGGAGUGCACAGAGACAUGCACAUGAAAUUCUCCAA
This is a non-coding RNA of Oncorhynchus mykiss (rainbow trout), 466 nucleotides long. NCBI's taxonomy places the organism in Eukaryota, Metazoa, Chordata, Actinopteri, Salmoniformes, Salmonidae. The record is from RefSeq and is a predicted model, not a curated record.